Molecule: non-coding RNA, 1383 nt
Organism: Salmo salar (Atlantic salmon)
Lineage: Eukaryota; Metazoa; Chordata; Actinopteri; Salmoniformes; Salmonidae
Source: RefSeq, a predicted model, not a curated record
AUUUGACCCAUGUCCUGCACCUCACCCAUCUGUGGGGGAAUUACCGGUUCCCUAGUCCAACACCAGAUGGCAGCAGUGGGCUGAGCCGAAGUCCCCUGUGCUGGCAGCUCAUGAUGCAGUCUUUCCACAGCCACAUGAUAGCCACUCUAUGAAUGGGCCAAAACAAUGGGUUCCUGAGGAUGAGGAGAAGGAGGACAGAAGCACACUGCCAAGAGCCGUCAGCUUGGCGGAUGUCCAUGUUGGAAGUCCAGACUAGCUAGGUGGCAAAGCGAAGAGCCAGAAAACCUCCAGACACCACCGCCAGCCCAAUGACAACCCUCAAAUCCAGCAAGGCCACCACCCACAUCAGCCUCAUGUUUAAACACAGCCUGUCCUCAUCUAAAAACAAGAGGAAGCAGAGUAGAGAACACUGCAGAACCACUGAUGCGGGGGUCACGGGGGGUUCAUUGUUUGAGGUGUUGCGUGAGGCCAUCUACUCUGAGGUGGCUAAUGUGAUAUCUCAGAAUGAGACUAGGCCCUGUUUUAUCAUAGUGCUGUUCUACCAGCUGCAGAUGCUAAACACAGACUACCUACGGCAGAGAGCACUAUUCGCCCUGAAGGACAGAGUGGCUCGGCAUCUUUCUGAAAGAGAUGUGACUGAAGACCAGCCUGUGCCUGCCAGCCCUGUUCUCCAGGCUUCCCCCCACCACACAACUGACAUCCACAGAGACCAUGUUCUCAACGUAUGCUGUAUGUAUGCCUUUCUCUGACCUGCAAUCACAAGACAUCCUUUGUUAGUUUUAUGAACAGACCAAAAUUACCAUAACAAGAAUAAUAUUCAUGUCACUGUUUAUUUGAUUUGUAAGAGGAUUACUCAGGAAAGAGACAGAAAAUAAAUGUUUCAGAAGGUGAAUGCAUCCUGUCUAUCGCCUCCCACCUUAAGCCAUUUGCCAUUGAGGAUCUGGGUAAAAAAAACUUUCAUGGAUUUGAACACUGCUAUGUCCUUAAUUAAUAGUCUAUGCUAUAUGUCUAAGUGUCUGUUUAACUUUGAUCUGUUGCUAUGAUUGACUGGACACCCUGCUGUUUUUUAGGUGCCUCUGAUGGUACUAACUCUUCCUUAACUGAGAUCCAGUGUGCACAAGUUGACACUCAACAACUUGACAGGCAGAUAAAUGCUAUCAUGGCUGAGAUCCUUCCCAUUUUGAAGGAGCGUGUGGAGGAGGAGUUAUCUCCUGGUGUCCAUCAGACACAAGGUUCUGGCUCUGACAGCAGAGAAUUCAUCCGCUUCUUCCACAAACAGCUCAGUGAUGUUCUGCAGCUGAGAAAAUUAUAUGAAGUUGUAUUUGUCACAUGCGCCCGAUACAACAUGUAACCAUGAAAUGCUUACUUACAAUGCAGUUUUAA